GAAAUCCUCGCUGGUCAUGUGUCGCGCUGCUCUUGGCUCCGGACAGUGCAUUCAAGCUGUUGACAACAGUCAUCGAAUGUAGCGGCUCUGAGGACUAGGAAGUCUCCACCGUUUUACUUAAUCGGUUAACGGGGAAAAGCCUAUAUUAGAAACAUACAUGAAAUAGUUUGUUUAACCUCUCCAACCGGAACAAUGAUUUCCCCGUGGGACCGCUGCUGCAUCUGCUGUCAUGUCCGGACGGGCACCAUCAACUUCGAGCGAUUGGACGCCUUCGAUCGAUUAGAUAAUCAAAGUUCCAAACCACUUUACACACGCAGCUGCAGACUGGCGGUGUCCUGGUCUAGUCUGGUUCUACUGCUGCCCUAUGAAGAGGUUGUUGCCAUCCGUCCCAAGGAGGCCUCAGUGUGUGGAAGCAUGAGGAGAGGGAGAGAGACUCUGCCCUGGACCUCCUCCCUCCUUCCCCUCAUCCCCUCCUCCCACAUCCCUCUCCCCUCCUCCUAAAUCCCUCCCUCUCUCUCCUCCUCUCCUCCCUUCCUCUGAUCCCUCCCUCUCUCUCCUCCCUACCCCCUCCCUCUCCUCUCUUCCUCCUCCCUCUCCUCUCUCUCUCUAUCCUCCUCCCUUCCUCCUCCCUCCCUCUCUCUCCUCCUCCCUCUGAUCCCUCCCUCUCUCUACUCCCUUCCCCCUACCUCCUCUCUUCCUCCUCCCUCUCCUCUCUCUCUCUAUCCCUCCCUCCCUCUCCUCCUCUCUCCCCUCCCUCCGAUCCCUCCCUCUCUCUACUCCCUUCCCCCUACCUCCUCUCUUCCUCCUCCCUCUCCUCUCUCUCUCUAUCCUCCUCCCUCCCUCCCUCUCCUCCCUUCCUCUGAUCCCUCCCUCCCUCUCUCCUCCCUACCCCCUCCCUCUCCUCUCUUCCUCCUCCCUCUCCUCUAUCCUCCUCCCUUCCUCCUCCCUCCCUCUCUCUCC
This is a long non-coding RNA of Oncorhynchus tshawytscha (Chinook salmon), 960 nucleotides long. NCBI's taxonomy places the organism in Eukaryota, Metazoa, Chordata, Actinopteri, Salmoniformes, Salmonidae. The record is from Ensembl.